This 373-nucleotide ribosomal RNA is filed under the name uncultured organism. RNAcentral describes it as "partial 16S ribosomal RNA". It matches the Rfam family "Bacterial small subunit ribosomal RNA", at positions 527 to 896 of the family's 1533-position model. The record is from RNAcentral.
GUAGGUGGCAAGCGUUGUCCGGAAUUAUUGGGCGUAAAGCGCGCGCAGGCGGUUCUUUAAGUCUGAUGUGAAAGCCCACGGCUCAACCGUGGAGGGUCAUUGGAAACUGGAAAACUUGAGUACAGAAGAGGAAAGCGGAAUUCCACGUGUAGCGGUGAAAUGCGUAGAGAUGUGGAGGAACACCAGUGGCGAAGGCGGCUUUCUGGUCUGUAACUGACGCUGAGGCGCGAAAGCGUGGGGAGCAAACAGGGAUUAGAUACCCUGGUAGUCCACGCCGUAAACGAUGAGUGCUAAGUGUUAGGGGGGUUUCCCGCCCCUUAGUGCUGCAGCUAACGCAUUAAGCACUCCGCCUGGGGAGUACGCCGCAAGGCUG